UACAUAUAUCACUUAAACGAUGUACAUGUAUCAAUAAAUAGAUCAGGUACAUCAUAUGUCAAUAUCUACAUCAGUUGGAUUACAUGUUAAAAUAAUCACCAGGUUCUUUGCACAAUAAACACACAUAUCGUUCAUUGUACAACAUAACAUUCACCAGGUACAGUAUACAUUAAUGCAUACACAAAAUGCUUACAAUAUAUCCAACAAUGAAUGUAUCAUGUACUUUAAUCAGGCACAUCAUGCAGCAAUUUAUGUAUGCAUCACAUGCAUUAAUUAUACAGUUCUUUCUUUAACCUGCAUACAUAACACAUUUUAAACUGCCAAACCCAUGACACACAUGCUAAUUUGAAAACACACGAUGCAAAAAAAGAGUACAUUACACAUGCAAGUACUGCAUAAUCAUCAGUAAGAUUCACAGAUAAGGAGGCUAAAGGACAUUUGACAUUGGUGGUGUUGAAGUAGUCACGCUCCAGGUUUAUGUGAAUAAUCGUGGUAGGUAAUUAUUUCCUUAGUUUCUAUGAUAUACACGAGAGAAAUCAGUCCUACAACCUCGUUUUGAUUACAUUUGGUCGUUGCUACAUUGCAGCGUUUGGGAGCUUUACAGCAGUAACACACCGUUUAACUAUAGGAACAUUUGUUAGGUGACUCAUUUCACACAGAAUUAUAAAACUACUAUAGGAACAUUUGUUAGGUGACUCACUUCACACAGACUCACUUCACACAGAAUUAUAAAACUACUAUAGGAACAUUUAUUAGGUGACUCACUUCACACAGAAUUAUAAAACUACCACAGGAACAUUUAUUAGGUGACUCCCUUCAUAGAGAAUUAUAAAACUACUAUAGGAACAUUUAUUAGGUGACUCACCUCACACAAAAUUAUAAAACUACUAUAGGAAUAUUUAUUAGGUUACUCACCUCACAUAGAAUUAUAAAACUACUAUAGGAACAUUUAUUAGGUGACUCACUUCACACAUAAUUAUAAAACUACUAUAGGAACAUUUGUUAUGUGACUCAUUUCACACAUAAUUAUACAACUGCUAUAGGAACAUUUAUUAGGUUACUCACUUCACACAGAAUUAUAAAACUACCACAGGAACAUUUAUUAGGUGACUCCCUUCAUAGAGAAUUAUAAAACUACUAUAGGAACAUUUAUUAGGUGAUUCAGUUGACACAGAAUUAUAAAACUACUAUAGGAACAUUUGUUAUAUGACUCAUUUCACACAUAAUUAUAAAACUACUAUAGGUACAUUUAUUAGGUUAUUCUCGUUACACAGAAUUAUAAAACUACCAUAGGAACAUUUAUUAGGUGACUCCCUUCAUAGAGAAUUAUAAAACUACUAAAGGAAUAUUUAUUAGGUGACUCACUCAACACAGAAUAAUAAAACUACUAUAGGAUCAUUUAUUAGGUGAUUCAGUUGACACAGAAUUAUAAAACUACUAUAGGAAUAUUUGUUAGGUGAGUCACCUCACAUAGAAUUAUUAAACUACUAUAGGAACAUUUAUUAGGUGACUCACUUCACACAUAAUUAUAAAACUACUAUAGGAACAUUUAUUAGGUGAUUCAGUUGACACAGAAUUAUAAAACUACUAUAGGAACAUUUAUCAGGUGACUCACGUCACACAGAGAAUUAUAAAACUACUAUAGGAACAUUUAUUAGGUGACUCACUUCACACAGAAUUAUAAAACUACUAAAGGAACAUUUUAUAGGUGAUUCACUCCACACAGAGAUUUAGAAAACUGCUAUAGGAACAUUUAUUAGGUGAUUCAGUUGACACAGAAUUAUAAAACUACUAUAGGAACAUUUAUUAGGUGAUUCACUCCACGCAGAGAAUUAUAAAACUGCUAUAGGAACAUUUGUUAUGUGACUCACUUCACACAUAAUUAUAAAACUACUAUAGGAGUAUUUAUUAGGUGAUUCAGUUGACACAGAAUUAUAAAACUACUAUAGGAACAUUUAUUAGGUGAUUCACUCCACGCAGAGAAUUAGAAAACUACUAUGAUAACAUUAACAAUGCAUUUAACUUCACACAGGUCUGAAAAACUACUAUAUUAACCUUAAUUAGAAAAAAAAACUUCAAGCAGAUUUAGAAAACUACUAUAGAAACUUCAAUGGAGGAUUUACUAUACACAGAUUUGCAAAACUUAAGUAGAAACAUUCAUUAAGCGAUUCACUACACACAGGUUUAGAAAACUGAUGCAUUUUUGAAGAAAUAUCUUUUUUAUUACCACGUUUUCUUUCUCCCUAUCCCACACUAUGUAAACAGUGAUGAAAUACAUCAAAAGAGAACCUACUUGGAUAUCACCGGUUAUAUGUAACCAAUGAGGUAAUACGUAUGUCCUUUAAUUGACAAUCAACCACAGUUUAAUUAUUAUUGCAAACUCAUGCAUCAUUUUGGCAUAUGCGACUUCGAGAAAUUGGAAAGAACUAAAUUAUUGCUAUUUUAUCGUGGAAUAAAUUGAUUAAGUAUCAUCUUAACAUUACAUGGAUUAAGUGUUAUCGUAGAAUUUAUUUGAUUAAGUGUUAUCGUGACAUAACAUUGCUGUAUUGUGGCAUUACUUUGAUUAUGUUUUAUCGUAAAAUAACAUUGGUUAAGUUUAAUCGUAAAAUUCAUUUUAAUUAAUUGUUAUUGUAGCAUAAUAUUGUUUAAGAAUUAUCGUAACUUAUUAGCGUUAUUGUAAAAUUAUUAUGAUUUUUCGUUUUGUAACAUUACAAUAAUUUGAUAUUACGAUUGAUUUGUUGUUAUCUCAAUAAAACUAUAAUUGGUGUUAACGGAACAUUACUUUGGUUCGAUCUUAUGACAUUUUAUUUGUGCGUUGUUUUGUAACAUGACAAUGGUUUUGUGUUAUCGUAACAUAACUCCGACUUGUUGUUAUAAACAUAAUAUUGCUUUUGUUGUUAUGGUGACAAUGUUAUCAUCAAAUAUAAUGAUUUCUUGUAGCAUUACAAUGCAUUAAAGUUAUCAUCGUUUUUCAUGAACUUUGUUAAUUUGUAACAUUAUCAUGAAUUGAUAUUAUCAUUCCAUUGCGGAAAUUUCUGUUAUGUUCACUAAAAGAAUUAUAGCCUUGUCAAUGUGCAUAUAUUGAUUAUUUGAUUUAAAUUUGAUUUUGUUUUAUGACUGUAAUUGUACAAUAGGUAUUGCAUUUAAGUAUUUGAUAUAUGUUAUCAACGCGUCUAUUAUACGAUUUUGAGAAUUUAAAGAUUAGUUACAAAAUGAGCUUAUACAAAGGAAUAUAUUCUAUGUUUUAUAAUUUCAAAUGAAAUACGAUGGAAGUAACCUGUGAAAGUGAUUCAUAAAUGAUGUUUUCAAUGAUAUUGUUCACACAAUCAAGAAACAAUCAAAGAUCCUUUCAAUUAUAAAAAAUAACAUAUAUUUAGUAAAUGUUAGUAACUCAUAUACUAUGUUUUUGUUUCCGGUUGAUGUUUCC
Molecule: long non-coding RNA, 3427 nt
Filed under: Mizuhopecten yessoensis (Yesso scallop)
Lineage: Eukaryota; Metazoa; Mollusca; Bivalvia; Pectinida; Pectinidae
Description: uncharacterized LOC110456102
Source: RNAcentral